UCUGCUUGAAUGUCUUCUCCUUUACCACC
Molecule: non-coding RNA, 29 nt
Filed under: Homo sapiens (human)
Lineage: Eukaryota; Metazoa; Chordata; Mammalia; Primates; Hominidae
Source: RNAcentral